GAGUUUGAUCAUGGCUCAGAUUGAACGCUGGCGGCAUGCCUUACACAUGCAAGUCGAACGGGCAGCACGGGAGCUUGCUCCUGGUGGCGAGUGGCGAACGGGUGAGUAAUGCAUCGGAACGUAUCCUGGAGUGGGGGAUAACGUAGCGAAAGUUACGCUAAUACCGCAUAUUCUGUGAGCAGGAAAGCGGGGGACCUUCGGGCCUCGCGCUCUUGGAGCGGCCGAUGUCGGAUUAGCUAGUUGGUGAGGUAAAGGCUCACCAAGGCGACGAUCCGUAGCAGGUCUGAGAGGAUGAUCUGCCACACUGGAACUGAGACACGGUCCAGACUCCUACGGGAGGCAGCAGUGGGGAAUUUUGGACAAUGGGGGCAACCCUGAUCCAGCCAUGCCGCGUGAGUGAAGAAGGCCUC
Molecule: ribosomal RNA, 410 nt
Filed under: bacterium enrichment culture clone ALO1_GLFRUDD03FOR5Y
Lineage: Bacteria
Description: bacterial SSU rRNA
Rfam family: Bacterial small subunit ribosomal RNA
Source: RNAcentral